GAUUUCUGGUUUGGUGCGCGCGGUCCGCUGCGGUUUCGUAGCGUGUGCUGUUGUGCGCCUGCCAUCGUUUGAGGCAGGGGCGUGCUCUUCACUGGGUGCGUCUUUAUCUCAAUCUUUUACUUUGAAAAAAUUAGAGUGUUCAAAGCAGGCUUGCGCUAUGAAUACAUUAGCAUGGAAUAAUAAUAUAGGACUUCUGUUCUAUUUUGUUGGUUUCUAGGAUGGAAGUAAUGAUUGAUAGGGACAGUUGGGGGUGCUAGUAUUCAGAGGCCAGAGGUGAAAUUCUUGGAUUCUCUGAAGACUAACUUAUGCGAAAGCAUU
RNAcentral lists this ribosomal RNA (318 nucleotides) under uncultured Cercomonas. Its description in RNAcentral is "SSU rRNA". The stretch from base 96 to 318 matches the Rfam family "Eukaryotic small subunit ribosomal RNA", at positions 731 to 955 of the family's 1831-position model. RNAcentral also lists the same sequence under 1 other name. Lineage: Eukaryota; Cercozoa; Cercomonadida; Cercomonadidae. The record is from RNAcentral.